GAUGAACGCUGGCGGCGUGCCUAAUACAUGCAAGUCGAGCGAACAGACGAGGAGCUUGCUCCUCUGACGUUAGCGGCGGACGGGUGAGUAACACGUGGAUAACCUACCUAUAAGACUGGGAUAACUUCGGGAAACCGGAGCUAAUACCGGAUAAUAUAUUGAACCGCAUGGUUCAAUAGUGAAAGACGGUUUUGCUGUCACUUAUAGAUGGAUCCGCGCCGCAUUAGCUAGUUGGUAAGGUAACGGCUUACCAAGGCAACGAUGCGUAGCCGACCUGAGAGGGUGAUCGGCCACCCUGGACCUGAGACACGGUCCAGACUCCUACGGGAGGCAGCAGUAGGGAAUCUUCCGCAAUGGGCGAAAGCCUGACGGAGCAACGCCGCGUGAGUGAUGAAGGUCUUCGGAUCGUAAAACUCUGUUAUUAGGGAAGAACAAAUGUGUAAGUAACUAUGCACGUCUUGACGGUACCUAAUCAGAAAGCCACGGCUAACUACGU
Molecule: ribosomal RNA, 496 nt
Filed under: uncultured bacterium
Lineage: Bacteria
Description: partial 16S ribosomal RNA
Rfam family: Bacterial small subunit ribosomal RNA
Source: RNAcentral